RNAcentral lists this ribosomal RNA (523 nucleotides) under uncultured Comamonas sp. Its description in RNAcentral is "bacterial SSU rRNA". It matches the Rfam family "Bacterial small subunit ribosomal RNA", at positions 38 to 560 of the family's 1533-position model. Lineage: Bacteria; Pseudomonadati; Pseudomonadota; Betaproteobacteria; Burkholderiales; Comamonadaceae. The record is from RNAcentral.
GGCGGCUGCUUUACACAUGCAAGUCGAACGGUAACAGGUCUUCGGAUGCUGACGAGUGGCGAACGGGUGAGUAAUACAUCGGAACGUGCCUAGUAGUGGGGGAUAACUACUCGAAAGAGUAGCUAAUACCGCAUGAGAUCUACGGAUGAAAGCAGGGGACCUUCGGGCCUUGUGCUACUAGAGCGGCUGAUGGCAGAUUAGGUAGUUGGUGGGGUAAAGGCUUACCAAGCCUGCGAUCUGUAGCUGGUCUGAGAGGACGACCAGCCACACUGGGACUGAGACACGGCCCAGACUCCUACGGGAGGCAGCAGUGGGGAAUUUUGGACAAUGGGCGAAAGCCUGAUCCAGCAAUGCCGCGUGCAGGAUGAAGGCCCUCGGGUUGUAAACUGCUUUUGUACGGAACGAAAAGCCUGGGGCUAAUAUCCCCGGGUCAUGACGGUACCGUAAGAAUAAGCACCGGCUAACUACGUGCCAGCAGCCGCGGUAAUACGUAGGGUGCAAGCGUUAAUCGGAAUUCUGGGCG